This 1021-nucleotide ribosomal RNA is filed under the name uncultured bacterium. RNAcentral's name for it is "bacterial SSU rRNA". It matches the Rfam family "Bacterial small subunit ribosomal RNA", at positions 357 to 1376 of the family's 1533-position model. The record is from RNAcentral.
AGGAAUAUUGGUCAAUGGACGCGAGUCUGAACCAGCCAAGUAGCGUGAAGGAUGACUGCCCUAUGGGUUGUAAACUUCUUUUAUAUGGGAAUAAAGUGGUCCACGUGUGGAUUUUUGUAUGUACCAUAUGAAUAAGGAUCGGCUAACUCCGUGCCAGCAGCCGCGGUAAUACGGAGGAUCCGAGCGUUAUCCGGAUUUAUUGGGUUUAAAGGGUGCGUAGGCGGACUGCCAAGUCAGCGGUAAAAUAGCGGGGCUCAACCCCGUCGAGCCGUUGAAACUGGUGGUCUUGAGUGGGCGAGAAGUACGCGGAAUGUGUGGUGUAGCGGUGAAAUGCAUAGAUAUCACGCAGAACUCCGAUUGCGAAGGCAGCGUACCGGCGCCCGACUGACGCUGAAGCACGAAAGCGUGGGUAUCGAACAGGAUUAGAUACCCUGGUAGUCCACGCAGUAAACGAUGAAUGCUAGCUGUCCGGGACGAAUGAGUCCUGGGUGGCACAGCGAAAGCGUUAAGCAUUCCACCUGGGGAGUACGCCGGCAACGGUGAAACUCAAAGGAAUUGACGGGGGCCCGCACAAGCGGAGGAACAUGUGGUUUAAUUCGAUGAUACGCGAGGAACCUUACCCGGGCUCAAACGCACUACGAAUGAUGCUGAAAGGUGUCAGCCAGCAAUGGCGUAGUGCGAGGUGCUGCAUGGUUGUCGUCAGCUCGUGCCGUGAGGUGUCGGCUUAAGUGCCAUAACGAGCGCAACCCCUACCGACAGUUGCUAACUGGUCAAGCAGAGGACUCUGUCGGGACUGCCGGCGCAAGCUGUGAGGAAGGCGGGGAUGACGUCAAAUCAGCACGGCCCUUACGUCCGGGGCGACACACGUGUUACAAUGGCAGGUACAGCGGGAAGCCACCUGGCGACAGGGAGCGGAACCCGAAAACCUGUCUCAGUUCGGAUUGGAGUCUGCAACCCGACUCCAUGAAGCUGGAUUCGCUAGUAAUCGCGCAUCAGCCAUGGCGCGGUGAAUACGUUCCCG